UUCGGCGUGCCCGGAGCCGGUGCGGCGGGCGGUCCCGCCGCCCGGGCGGCCGACGUUGUCUCCGCCGGUACGGAACCGGGCGCCGACA
This 88-nucleotide transfer RNA is filed under the name Streptomyces finlayi. RNAcentral describes it as "tRNA-Gly". Lineage: Bacteria; Bacillati; Actinomycetota; Actinomycetes; Kitasatosporales; Streptomycetaceae. The record is from RNAcentral. RNAcentral also lists the same sequence under 1 other name.